RNAcentral lists this ribosomal RNA (254 nucleotides) under uncultured bacterium. RNAcentral's name for it is "partial 16S ribosomal RNA". It matches the Rfam family "Bacterial small subunit ribosomal RNA", at positions 524 to 777 of the family's 1533-position model. The record is from RNAcentral.
UACGUAGGGUGCAAGCGUUAAUCGGAAUUACUGGGCGUAAAGCGUGCACAGGCGGUUUUGUAAGUUUGUCGUGAAAGCCCCGGGCUCAACCUGGGAAUUGCGAUGAAGACUGCAAGGCUUGAAUCUGGCAGAGGGGGGUAGAAUUCCACGUGUAGCAGUGAAAUGCGUAGAGAUGUGGAGGAACACCGAUGGCGAAGGCAGCCCCCUGGGUCAAGAUUGACGCUCAUGCACGAAAGCGUGGGGAGCAAACAGGG